RNAcentral lists this long non-coding RNA (1819 nucleotides) under Vigna radiata. RNAcentral describes it as "long non-coding RNA (VRAD_LNC005539)". Lineage: Eukaryota; Viridiplantae; Streptophyta; Magnoliopsida; Fabales; Fabaceae. The record is from RNAcentral.
AGACCACACUUAGUCUUUUGUACUCUUGGGCAAAAUCAAGAUGCAUAUCAAAGAACAAUUCAAAAGACAUCAAGAGAGUGACACAACCUCAGGACGCAAAAACAAAAAGACACACAAGUAAAGAAACAAAUUUACACAAUCCUCAAUGAAUCUUGGAAAGAAAAAAGGAGUAAACAACAUCCAACACUCAAAGAAUCAGAGGAACCAAAUACACACGGAAACCAUCCAAGCAAUUCAAGACAUGGCAAAAUAAUAAAUCAGCUCGAGAGGUGAAUGAAAAGCAAACAAAACCUCACAAAGGCACUAUCACUGGUAAACAAUUUCAACUCAAUGCACUCAAGAAAACAAACAACAAAUAGACUUUGCAAGCCUCUAAUAUCAAUACUCAAAACAUAUGCAUGUUCAAAUCAAAAAGUCUUUUCAUAGUUGUAAUGAGGCCAAGGAUAAGGGAGGACAAGGAUAAGGGAGGACAAGAUAUAAAUGAGAAGCUACAAACCAUAAAGAACAGAGGAGAAAUUCGGAACAAGUGAAAAUACAAUAAAUUCACACCCAAAAGCUCUAAUUCAAUCCUCUUCUUGACUCCACCAUUUAAUUAUUAUUAUUGAUUUUUUUCUAAUUUUUCUUUUCCUGUAAUGUCUCUUUUCUCUUUUCUUUUUUUUAGAACACAAACUGUAAGAGACAAGAUGCAAAGCAUAUUUAGAAAACAAGAUAUAAAGGAACCACGAAAACCUACUAGCUAAUUCAUAAGAUUCCAAUGAAGACCACACUUCUUCUCAAAAUAAUUUCAAAGCUCCAAAACUCCCUAAGGUUAAGGUGAUCAUGGUUUUUCACUUAAGGCUAAUUAAUGAGCUUCAAAACAAAGAAAGAGGAAAACAUAGGCUCAAAGGGGUUAUCAAAGGAUUAAACCAAGGUAAGCUUAUUUGGUUAGAGAGACUCAAGAACAAAAUUGCCUUUAUCACUUCCAAACAUGCAUAUCAGUCAAGAAUCAUCAAAAAGAGUCAAGGCAAGGGAUAUGUGCAAGCAAUCAAGAGAUAUAUCACUCAUAAGAAAUAACAUAAACAAAGUUAAGUAAGAUUUUCGAUACAAUUAGUAUCAAUCAAGUGAAGGAAGAGCCUACAACCUAAACAAAAUCCAGAAGUUAAGAGUAACAUGAAAACUGUACAAAAGACUCAAGCUUAAAACAACAAAAACAACCUAGAAAUAGAAAAAAAAAAUAAACAAAGAAAAAUCUCUCCCAAUAAACCACACUUAAACUACAUAGUGUCCAUAGUGUGUCAUACACAGAAGAUCAACAAUCAGAACAAUCAAAAGAUCUGGACAAAGUACAAUAAAAGUGGAGAAGGGAAAAGAAAACUCUUUGAGUUAGGGGCAAAGAGAAGUGGGAUAGAACAAAAAUGUAUCGUCCACAACUGCAUCCAACAAAGAAGGAUUGUUGAGGAAAAGCUUUAGUCUAUGCCCAUUGACUUUAAAACUUUUAUCUGUGGAUUCACUUUUGAUUUCAACUGCACCAUAAGGAUAAACAUCAGAAACAACAAAAGGUUCAAUCCACUUUGAGCGUAACUUACCACCCAUUAGUCCGAGCCUAGAGUUGUACAACAUUACUUUCUACCCAAUCUCGAAGUCCUUUAUAGCUAUCAAAUUGUCAUGGAACUUUUUGGUUCUCUCCUUGUAGAACUUUGAGUUCUCAUAGGCUUCCAAAUGGAUCUCAUCAAGUUCAUUCAAUUACAACUUUCUUUCCUCUACAGCCUAAUCCAUAGAGAAGUUGCAUGUCUUCACAUCCCAGUAUGCUCGAUGCUCAAUCUCAACAGGUAAGUGACAU